CGUGAAGUUGGAAUUGCUAUAAUCGCGGAUCAGCAUGCCGCGGUGAAUACGUUCCCGGGCCUUGUACACACCGCCCGUCACACCAUGGGAGUUUGUAACACCCGAAGUCAGUAUCCUAACCGCAAGGGGGGAGCUGCCGAAGGUGGGAUAAGCGACUGGGGUGAAGUCGUAACAAGGUAAC
This 181-nucleotide ribosomal RNA is filed under the name uncultured bacterium. RNAcentral's name for it is "partial 16S ribosomal RNA". It matches the Rfam family "Bacterial small subunit ribosomal RNA", at positions 1319 to 1500 of the family's 1533-position model. The record is from RNAcentral.